CACUCCUACGGGAGGCAGCAGUGGGGAAUUUUGGACAAUGGGCGAAAGCCUGAUCCAGCAAUGCCGCGUGAGUGAAGAAGGCCUUCGGGUUGUAAAGCUCUUUUGUCAGGGAAGAAACGGUGAAAGCUAAUAUCUUUUGCUAAUGACGGUACCUGAAGAAUAAGCACCGGCUAACUACGUGCCAGCAGCCGCGGUAAUACGUAGGGUGCAAGCGUUAAUCGGAAUUACUGGGCGUAAAGCGUGCGCAGGCGGUUUUGUAAGUCUGAUGUGAAAUCCCCGGGCUCAACCUGGGAAUUGCAUUGGAGACUGCAAGGCUAGAAUCUGGCAGAGGGGGGUAGAAUUCCACGUGUAGCAGUGAAAUGCGUAGAUAUGUGGAGGAACACCGAUGGCGAAGGCAGCCCCCUGGGUCAAGAUUGACGCUCAUGCACGAAAGCGUGGGGAGCAAACAGGAUUAGAUACCCCGGUAGUCCCAUGA
This 475-nucleotide ribosomal RNA is filed under the name uncultured organism. Its description in RNAcentral is "partial 16S ribosomal RNA". It matches the Rfam family "Bacterial small subunit ribosomal RNA", at positions 334 to 800 of the family's 1533-position model. The record is from RNAcentral.